This 321-nucleotide ribosomal RNA is filed under the name uncultured eukaryote. Its description in RNAcentral is "partial 18S ribosomal RNA". It matches the Rfam family "Eukaryotic small subunit ribosomal RNA", at positions 1470 to 1796 of the family's 1831-position model. The record is from RNAcentral.
CCCUUAGACGUUCUGGGCCGCACGCGCGCUACACUGACCAGUGCAACAAGCAUCCGUCCUUGGCCGACAGGCCCGGGCAAUCUUUGAACGCUGUUCGUGAUUGGGAUAGACCUUUGCAAUUAUGGGUCUUCAACGAGGAAUUCCUAGUAAACGCAAGUCAUCAGCUUGCAUUGAUUACGUCCCUGCCCUUUGUACACACCGCCCGUCGCACCUACCGAUUGAAUGGUCCGGUGAAAUCUCGGGACGGCGGCUCGGGCGCUUGCGUCCGACUGCUGAAACUUGAUUAAACCAUAUCAUUUAGAGGAAGGUGAAGUCGUAACA